Molecule: unclassified non-coding RNA, 232 nt
Filed under: Glomeraceae sp.
Lineage: Eukaryota; Fungi; Glomeromycota; Glomeromycetes; Glomerales; Glomeraceae
Description: partial contains 5.8S ribosomal RNA and internal transcribed spacer 2
Rfam family: 5.8S ribosomal RNA (bases 1-71)
Source: RNAcentral
GUGAAUCAUCGAAUUUUUGAACGCAAAUUGCGCUUCCUGGUAUCCCGGGAAGUAUGCCUGUUUGAGGGUCAGUAUUAACAAAAAAUCGGUUUGGUUGCAAAUUGUGACGUUUCCGGAGUUCGGGCACAUCUUAACUUUUUUGGUUAAGGGGCUUAAAAUUGACCUUUUUUGUGCACUUUCAGACGUACAUAAAUUUUUUUUUUAUUCGUCUAUUUUUCUUUUAAAAUCUUUC